AGGAACGUUGAAGACGAUGACGUUGAUAGGCCGGGUGUGUAAGCGCAGCGAUGCGUUGAGCUAACCGGUACUAAUGAACCGUGAGGCUUAACCUUACAACGCCGAAG
This 107-nucleotide ribosomal RNA is filed under the name Klebsiella pneumoniae. Its description in RNAcentral is "partial 23S ribosomal RNA". The stretch from base 1 to 95 matches the Rfam family "Bacterial large subunit ribosomal RNA", at positions 2831 to 2925 of the family's 2925-position model. The record is from RNAcentral. Lineage: Bacteria; Pseudomonadati; Pseudomonadota; Gammaproteobacteria; Enterobacterales; Enterobacteriaceae.